GGUUAAGCGACUAAGCGUACACGGUGGAUGCCCUGGCAGUCAGAGGCGAUGAAGGACGUGCUAAUCUGCGAUAAGCGUCGGUAAGGUGAUAUGAACCGUUAUAACCGGCGAUUUCCGAAUGGGGAAACCCAGUGUGUUUCGACACACUAUCAUUAACUGAAUCCAUAGGUUAAUGAGGCGAACCGGGGGAACUGAAACAUCUAAGUACCCCGAGGAAAAGAAAUCAACCGAGAUUCCCCCAGUAGCGGCGAGCGAACGGGGAGGAGCCCAGAGCCUGAAUCAGUGUGUGUGUUAGUGGAAGCGUCUGGAAAGGCGCGCGAUACAGGGUGACAGCCCCGUACACAAAAAUGCACAUGCUGUGAGCUCGAUGAGUAGGGCGGGACACGUGGUAUCCUGUCUGAAUAUGGGGGGACCAUCCUCCAAGGCUAAAUACUCCUGACUGACCGAUAGUGAACCAGUACCGUGAGGGAAAGGCGAAAAGAACCCCGGCGAGGGGAGUGAAAAAGAACCUGAAACCGUGUACGUACAAGCAGUGGGAGCACAGAGCAAUCUGUGUGACUGCGUACCUUUUGUAUAAUGGGUCAGCGACUUAUAUUCUGUAGCAAGGUUAACCGAAUAGGGGAGCCGAAGGGAAACCGAGUCUUAACCGGGCGUUAAGUUGCAGGGUAUAGACCCGAAACCCGGUGAUCUAGCCAUGGGCAGGUUGAAGGUUGGGUAACACUAACUGGAGGACCGAACCGACUAAUGUUGAAAAAUUAGCGGAUGACUUGUGGCUGGGGGUGAAAGGCCAAUCAAACCGGGAGAUAGCUGGUUCUCCCCGAAAGCUAUUUAGGUAGCGCCUCGUGAAUUCAUCUCCGGGGGUAGAGCACUGUUUCGGCAAGGGGGUCAUCCCGACUUACCAACCCGAUGCAAACUGCGAAUACCGGAGAAUGUUAUCACGGGAGACACACGGCGGGUGCUAACGUCCGUCGUGAAGAGGGAAACAACCCAGACCGCCAGCUAAGGUCCCAAAGUCAUGGUUAAGUGGGAAACGAUGUGGGAAGGCCCAGACAGCCAGGAUGUUGGCUUAGAAGCAGCCAUCAUUUAAAGAAAGCGUAAUAGCUCACUGGUCGAGUCGGCCUGCGCGGAAGAUGUAACGGGGCUAAACCAUGCACCGAAGCUGCGGCAGCGACACUGUGUGUUGUUGGGUAGGGGAGCGUUCUGUAAGCCUGUGAAGGUGUGCUGUGAGGCAUGCUGGAGGUAUCAGAAGUGCGAAUGCUGACAUAAGUAACGAUAAAGCGGGUGAAAAGCCCGCUCGCCGGAAGACCAAGGGUUCCUGUCCAACGUUAAUCGGGGCAGGGUGAGUCGACCCCUAAGGCGAGGCCGAAAGGCGUAGUCGAUGGGAAACAGGUUAAUAUUCCUGUACUU
This 1407-nucleotide ribosomal RNA is filed under the name Escherichia coli O157:H7 str. 1125. RNAcentral's name for it is "LSU rRNA". It matches the Rfam family "Bacterial large subunit ribosomal RNA", at positions 1 to 1446 of the family's 2925-position model. The record is from RNAcentral. Lineage: Bacteria; Pseudomonadati; Pseudomonadota; Gammaproteobacteria; Enterobacterales; Enterobacteriaceae.